Durio zibethinus is the source of this 1777-nucleotide non-coding RNA. NCBI's taxonomy places the organism in Eukaryota, Viridiplantae, Streptophyta, Magnoliopsida, Malvales, Malvaceae. The record is from RefSeq and is a predicted model, not a curated record.
UAUGUACUUGAUCUUCUUUAACAGCAAAUUUAAGUGAAGAACUGAGCUUUUCACUUUUUUUUUUUUUUUGGAAAUAUUAACCAAACUUUCUUAGAAAAUGUGUAAUUAUUUAUUGGGGAUUUUUGUUGGAAUAGGUCAAAUUAGGGUUUUCGUUUUCGAAAAAUGGCUACAGAGUCUUCAGAGUCAGAAGAAGAAGGAAAGAUUACAGGAGGAAAUCAACACUUAAUUGUCGAAGAUGACCUGAGAGAAAUGGGCAAAAAAGCAGCUUGGAGUGUCAGCUCUUGUAAAACUGGCAAUGGCGUCUCUUCUCUCCGUGACGACAAUCUCGAAACCUAUUGGCAAUCAGACGGAGCUCAGCCUCAUUUAGUUAACAUUCAGUUCCAGAAGAAGGUUAAGUUGCAACUAGUUGUACUUUAUGUGGAUUUCAAGCUUGACGAGAGCUACACACCAAGUAAGAUCUCUAUUCGAGCCGGUGAUGGCUUCCAUAACUUGAAGGAGAUUAAAACUGUGGAACUUGUCAAGCCUACCGGUUGGGUUUAUCUUUCGCUAUCCGGAAAUGAUCCUCGAGAAACUUUUGUCAACACCUUUAUGCUGCAAAUUGCUGUUCUGUCAAAUCACCUUAAUGGGAGGGAUACUCAUGUGCGCCAGAUCAAAGUUUAUGGGCCUCGACCGAAUCCAAUUCCGCACCAACCAUUCCAAUUUACUUCAAGGGAAUUUAUAACAUACUCCACUGUGAGAUAAUAAAUGUGACAUAAUAGCUGGCUUGGGGAAGAAAAGGACGUGGAAUAUGAAAUGUGGAAUCUUGACUCAGAUUGAAGAGAACUAACAUGUUGCUGAAAGCAACCAUAUAUUUCUUUAAAACUGAGUGGAGCUGCUUAUAGGAAUGCGAUAGAUAUUUGGAUGUGUCACUCUGCUACAAAUUAUUGUUUUCGUCGUAUGUUGAGGGUUCAAGUUUAAACUUCCAAGGAAAAAGAAAACAACUUGCCACGGUGGUGUGAUCAGGUUACCUUGAAAUCUUAUCAUCAUUGGAAAUAUUGAAGCUAUGAUAUAGAUUCCACAAGGUGCGAAUGCCUAUUCCUGAACUUACUGGAAGCACCGGAAUAAAAGCUAACCUAUCCAUUCUAAAGGAGUGAGACUUGAAGGACGCUUAAAAAUAUUCCAAGACUCGAGAUCCGAAAUCCAAAUCAUGUGGUAUUCGGCCUUUGCAUAUGUUAUGGUAGCUCGUUUUCUAAAAGGUUGCUGCUCCAGCUAUUGCUUUAAUAGGGCAGCUAGUUAGGGUGUGGCUUCCAUGCAAGUUGGACGUCUUAAUUGGGAAGACACUUUCAAUUCAAGGGAAAUAAUUGCAACUACCCUUACUUCAUCAAGGAAAAGCUAGCAUCAAACCCCUCAAACUUGGUGUUUUCCUAUUUGGAAUGAGUAACGAGAGCUGAAUUUGACCAGGACAGAAGCUAAAGCAGCCAAGUUGGUAUGAACGGAGUUUUUGACACGUAAAGAAAUGCCUAAGCAUUAUUUUUCUGCACCAAAGAUGAUCGGUUCCCUUUUCCUUUUCCUGUAUCUUGCACAGAAUUCACCUUGCACUUUUGGAUCUCAAUGCUUCCUUUCAAAGUAACUAGAAAGAAUUUCAAUUUGCAACAUCAAUCAAGCGAAAGUGAUCCAACAUAUAGCGUUUGGAAUGAGAACCUGAACCUUAAAAAGGAAACAUGAUUGCUUGUUUGUCCCACUCCUCUUCCUCAGGAAACAUCAGUUUGAAAGAAAAGGAAGAAUUCCGUUUAGGUCU